ACCAAUUGUUGGAUUCCGCAUUGGAAGCGUAAAAUCGAAUUUUUACCAUAUAUAAACUCGUCUCCUCAGCAAAAGCUGACUCAUUUUCUACAACAAAGUAGCUUCAAAUCCGAGCCCUCUUUCUGAAUCUCUCUCAUCCUUCUCUUGUUUUCUAUAAAUUCAGAAGACCUCUUCCUAUGUACCCAUGCACAAGGUAUAUCAAUAACCCACGAUUAC
This 216-nucleotide long non-coding RNA is filed under the name Ananas comosus (pineapple). RNAcentral describes it as "long non-coding RNA (ACOM_LNC029498)". The record is from RNAcentral. Lineage: Eukaryota; Viridiplantae; Streptophyta; Magnoliopsida; Poales; Bromeliaceae.